RNAcentral lists this long non-coding RNA (542 nucleotides) under Dermacentor andersoni. RNAcentral's name for it is "uncharacterized LOC126539149". The record is from RNAcentral. Lineage: Eukaryota; Metazoa; Arthropoda; Arachnida; Ixodida; Ixodidae.
UUACUUGCAGACGCCGAAACUCAGCUUUCAACGCACCGUCUUCGAAUUCCUGUUAUCAGUUAUACGAAGGUCUGCAGAAGUUUUCCACAAGUUUUGUACAAUGACGAACACCUUGGACGCAGUUAGUUCCGUCGGUUAGUACGAUCAUGAUGACCUUGUAUUCUUACCAGUCGUGAAAGUCGGCAGGGGCAUUGUCUUCGCUGCAUCUCUUAGAUUGUGUCGAGAAUGCAUAGGCAUCGUUUCACCAGUGGCUAUCUUGACGCACUUCUGCAAGGUUAUUAUGCAGCGGAACCCCUCAGGGCAGCAGCUGCCGAAAUCUUCACAACACGUUGCUCGCGGGUAGGGACAACAGUUGUACGUCUCGUCGAACAGCUUGCAGCAGGUCUGGUUGUUGAAACACAUCCUCCCAUCCGGACAGUGUAUUAGCCGUCCUGGUCGAAAAUUGCAUCUCGGAAAUAUUGGUUUUUUUGGAAGACAACCACACCAGCUAGGCGAAAUGCAGCGUUUCCACCCACCGAAUAACGUACACACGCAUACAGAUA